ACGCUGAAGAGAGGAGCUUGCUCUUCUUGGAUGAGUUGCGAACGGGUGAGUAACGCGUAGGUAACCUGCCUUGUAGCGGGGGAUAACUAUUGGAAACGAUAGCUAAUACCGCAUAACAAUGGAUGACACAUGUCAUUUAUUUGAAAGGGGCAAUUGCUCCACUACAAGAUGGACCUGCGUUGUAUUAGCUAGUAGGUGAGGUAAUGGCUCACCUAGGCGACGAUACAUAGCCGACCUGAGAGGGUGAUCGGCCACACUGGGACUGAGACACGGCCCAGACUCCUACGGGAGGCAGCAGUAGGGAAUCUUCGGCAAUGGGGGCAACCCUGACCGAGCAACGCCGCGUGAGUGAAGAAGGUUUUCGGAUCGUAAAGCUCUGUUGUAAGUCAAGAACGGGUGUGAGAGUGGAAAGUUCACACUGUGACGGUAGCUUACCAGAAAGGGACGGCUAACUACGUGCCAGCAGCCGCGGUAAUACGUAGGUCCCGAGCGUUGUCCGGAUUUAUUGGGCGUAAAGCGAGCGCAGGCGGUUUGAUAAGUCUGAAGUUAAAGGCUGUGGCUCAACCAUAGUUCGCUUUGGAAACUGUCAAACUUGAGUGCAGAAGGGGAGAGUGGAAUUCCAUGUGUAGCGGUGAAAUGCGUAGAUAUAUGGAGGAACACCGGUGGCGAAAGCGGCUCUCUGGUCUGUAACUGACGCUGAGGCUCGAAAGCGUGGGGAGCGAACAGGAUUAGAUACCCUGGUAGUCCACGCCGUAAACGAUGAGUGCUAGGUGUUGGAUCCUUUCCGGGAUUCAGUGCCGCAGCUAACGCAUUAAGCACUCCGCCUGGGGAGUACGACCGCAAGGUUGAAACUCAAAGGAAUUGACGGGGGCCCGCACAAGCGGUGGAGCAUGUGGUUUAAUUCGAAGCAACGCGAAGAACCUUACCAGGUCUUGACAUCCCGAUGCUAUUUCUAGAGAUAGAAAGUUACUUCGGUACAUCGGUGACAGGUGGUGCAUGGUUGUCGUCAGCUCGUGUCGUGAGAUGUUGGGUUAAGUCCCGCAACGAGCGCAACCCCUAUUGUUAGUUGCCAUCAUUCAGUUGGGCACUCUAGCGAGACUGCCGGUAAUAAACCGGAGGAAGGUGGGGAUGACGUCAAAUCAUCAUGCCCCUUAUGACCUGGGCUACACACGUGCUACAAUGGUUGGUACAACGAGUUGCGAGUCGGUGACGGCGAGCUAAUCUCUUAAAGCCAAUCUCAGUUCGGAUUGUAGGCUGCAACUCGCCUACAUGAAGUCGGAAUCGCUAGUAAUCGCGGAUCAGCACGCCGCGGUGAAUACGUUCCCGGGCCUUGUACACACCGCCCGUCACACCACGAGAGUUUGUAACACCCGAAGUCGGUGAGGUAACCUUUGGA
This 1396-nucleotide ribosomal RNA is filed under the name Streptococcus thermophilus. RNAcentral's name for it is "bacterial SSU rRNA". It matches the Rfam family "Bacterial small subunit ribosomal RNA". The record is from RNAcentral. Lineage: Bacteria; Bacillati; Bacillota; Bacilli; Lactobacillales; Streptococcaceae.